RNAcentral lists this ribosomal RNA (463 nucleotides) under Sanguirana sp. 'Negros-Panay'. RNAcentral describes it as "partial 12S ribosomal RNA". It matches the Rfam family "Bacterial small subunit ribosomal RNA", at positions 869 to 1533 of the family's 1533-position model. The record is from RNAcentral. Lineage: Eukaryota; Metazoa; Chordata; Amphibia; Anura; Ranidae.
GCGCCAGGGAAUUACGAGCAAUGCUUAAAACCCAAAGGAUUUGACGGUAUCCCAUCCACCUAGAGGAGCCUGUUCUAUAAUCGAUAACCCCCGCUACACCCAACCACUCCUAGCCUAUCAGCCUGUAUACCUCCGUCGAAAGCCUACCAUGUGAAUGUUUUCAGUAAGCUUAAUGUCCCCAUCAAAACGUCAGGUCAAGGUGCAGCUCAUGGAAUGGAAAGCAAUGGGCUACAAUUUCUAAUUUAGAACAUACGAAAAACUAGGUGAAAUCCUAGUCAUGAAGGCGGAUUUAGCAGUAAAAAGAAAAUAGAGUGUUCUUUUUAACCCGGCCCUGGGAUGUGUACACACCGCCCGUCACCCUCUUCGACUACUACAAACACUGUUUCAUAACUCCCUUUCCCCCACCCUAGAAGAGGCAAGUCGUAACAUGGUAAGUGUACUGGAAAGUGCACUUGGCUAAUUA